GAUGAACGCUGGCGGCGUGCUUAACACAUGCAAGUCGAACGAAGCACCUUGAUUCGAUUCUUCGGAUGAAGAUCUUGGUGACUGAGUGGCGGACGGGUGAGUAACGCGUGGGUAACCUGCCUCAUACAGGGGGAUAACAGUUAGAAAUGACUGCUAAUACCGCAUAAGACCACAGCACCGCAUGGUGCAGGGGUAAAAACUCCGGUGGUAUGAGAUGGACCCGCGUCUGAUUAGGUAGUUGGUGGGGUAACGGCCUACCAAGCCGACGAUCAGUAGCCGACGUGAGAGGGUGACCGGCCACACUGGGACUGAGACACGGCCCAAACUCCUACGGGAGGCAGCAGUGGGGAAUAUUGCACAAUGGGGGAAACCAUGAUGCAGCGACGACGCGUGAGCGAUGAAGUAUGUCGGUAUGUAAAGCUCUAUAAGCAGGGAAGAAAAUGACGGUACCUGACUAAGAAGCACCGGCUAAAUACGUG
This 479-nucleotide ribosomal RNA is filed under the name uncultured bacterium. Its description in RNAcentral is "partial 16S ribosomal RNA". It matches the Rfam family "Bacterial small subunit ribosomal RNA", at positions 28 to 507 of the family's 1533-position model. The record is from RNAcentral.